ACCCUCGUCACAAGAGACAGAGGUGCAUGUUGUAUAAUUGCGUGAAUUUUUUAAUGUUUAAUUUCAUGUAAGUUUCAUGUAAUAAAUUGUACAAGUUUUAUUGUAUAUAUGAAUUCCAUAUAUACAUAUUUAUAAUUUAAUGUAUGGUUUCAUGUGUAUAUUUCAAUCAUGUGUAUACUUAGUAGAUUGCCAAUUUUCUUUUUCUAGUAGACAAGGGUUGAUGUAUAAUUACGUGUAUAUGUUUAUUGUACGGGCAAUUAGGACAAGUUUUGUAUAAAUUUCCUUUAUUUCAUGGUUGUUGUAUGGUUUCAUGUAUAUUCAUUUAUUGUACUACUUGAGACAAUUUUUAAUUUAAUGUUUCUAUGAUUAGAUGUGUGUAAAACUAAUUGUAUUAUUAGUUAAGAUGGGAGCCAAAGAGGAUGAAAGGUAUAUAAUGGAGCAGAUUAUUGCUGGCGGUAGUGGCUCAAACGUUGCAAGAACCUACACCGAGGGUGAGGGGAGCUAGGUGGACAUGUACCUCAACAUCUCCAGUGAUGGCAAUGACGAUGAGGAGCACGAGCAUGAUGUUUAUGAUAGUGCAGAACAAGACAUUGCAGAAUUGGAAGGUUCUAAUGAGGUGUGCUUCAUGUUGACGAUCUGGUUGGCUUUUUUUCUUUGGUCACACCUUAGUUACGAUAGAACUUCGUCUCGGGAGAAGAU
Molecule: long non-coding RNA, 699 nt
Filed under: Setaria viridis
Lineage: Eukaryota; Viridiplantae; Streptophyta; Magnoliopsida; Poales; Poaceae
Description: long non-coding RNA (SVIR_LNC007219)
Source: RNAcentral